GGGGCCCGGGCGCACGGCGGGGGCUCGGCUCUGCGGGGCGGGCGGUCCUGGCCCCCGGGCGCGCUCCGAGCUCCGCGGGCUCGGGUGGGGCGGUGGUGGACGGUUUGGCGCGCGAGGUCUAGAGGGGACUCUCUUCCUCCCGAAGAGUGUCCACGGACGCUCAGUGCGUCCUCACGCACUUUCCUGCUCCAAAAAUUUGGCUAAAGUUUUGUUGGAAAGUAGCAUCCAGAUGUGGAAGAUUUUCAAAAGUCGUGCGUAAAUUUAGGAACUAGAUCCAGAAAAAACGAUUACUCAGGGUGGUCAAAUGAAGGUGAAGUGCUGUAGAUAUGGUGUCGGUGAAUUUGCCGUCAAAAUGAAGAGUCAGCCAGUCCCCUCGUCUGUGUGAUGUACGUACGGCCAGCUUAUUUACUCGGGAGGACAGAGGGAAAAAAAUAACAGGAAACCAACCCACAUCAAACAAUGAAGAUGAAUAUCAAUAUUUGUUCCUUUCCGGAUAAGAGGAGUUAUGCACAGUAUUACGUCAUCAUAGCAGCACUUGAAAGAAUCGAAGUUGCUUUGAGCUUGAAGAAUUUCCAGUACAGCAAUUUGGCUGUUGUCAUCUAAAUGAAGUAAAGUUAAAAUAUAGCCUUUUAACAGAAGUAAGUAGAUAUUAUUCGAAGUAUCCAUGGUCGCCAUCUGGAAGCUGUGCUUGUUAUCAAACUUGAGAUCCAGGAACCUGGUCCGAUGCUGCCAGCAGAUGUUGCCAAAUUGCCGUCUAUACAGGAUGAACCACCUUACACUCCUACUGGUAAAAAUACCCUUUGGUUGUUUUCAGUUGUGAAAAUAAAUGAAGACCACCCAGACGAGGACACACAAAGGCUCUUUAUUCAAAGCUGGCUACAGCGAGGGUGUCAGUGCCGUCACAGGCUGCGCAGAGACUCGAAGGCGGCAGAGAUGGGACAGGCGUCAGGCACCGCCUGCUAGGAGGGCGCUGGCUGGGAAGCUGGAGGUGGCAGUGGUUCAUGCUUUCUGAUUGCUCUGUAGCAUCCUGUUGAAUGACUAUGCCACAAAACAGGGAAGGGCUGGAGUCUGCCCCACAUUGCUAACGCCAUUUCCUCACCUGUUGUGCAUCCUUCAGCCUCCUCCCCUAUCACAAGCAAAGAGAAUUCGCUGGCAUCAAUGCAACCAUGUUAGAAUAAAAGC
Molecule: long non-coding RNA, 1182 nt
Filed under: Equus caballus (horse)
Lineage: Eukaryota; Metazoa; Chordata; Mammalia; Perissodactyla; Equidae
Description: lncRNA (ENSECAG00000057639.1)
Source: RNAcentral